AAACAUGUUAGUUUGGGGAAAGCCUUAAAUCAAUCAUUAUUUAUUUCCUCUUGACCUUUCAUUCUAUUUUAUUUUUACACAUUCUCCUUUCAUUUUGCAGUAAUGCCCAAAAGGAGUAAAGGAGAAAACAGAGAAAAAAACAAUUAUGUGUUCUCCCUUGGAAUAUGGACUAAAUUCCUAUGGUCCCCUUUUGGAAGGCAUUGUGGAACCUGGAGGGAAAAUACAUCUCAGUUCUUGAUCUGUACUGCAAACAAAUAUUCAUGAUGCCUCUUUGUUGCCCUAGGAAGAAUACACCUGAAAUGAACCUAGCUUCAUAUCAGAGAGUCUUUCCUCAAGAAUGGUCCAAUCCAGUGAAGCCUGUGCAGAAAGACUUAUUAUAUUACUCAUUCAUGACACCCUGUGCAUUGAGCACGCUCAUGGAAGAGACAAUACAAUUGUGGUAAAGUUUUAAAUGGUAUUUAAGGCUGUGUCUGGUGAUAACUGACACAUUCAGAGUGGUUACAAUAAUCCAAACUCAUGCCAGCUGCAGCCAUUCCCCCAUAGUGUAGACAGUGGAGGUGCCCUGGGGGAGGCCAGCUGCCAUCUGAAAGGCAUAAGUGGGGCAAAGUGAUUCAAAGUCCACCAUGCCGCAGUGCAGGAUGAGGACUGUGUCACAGCCAGGUGAGACUUGAGGUGCUGGGAGCUGGCCGAUGACAGGGCAGAGUACCUUUGUAUCAAGUGACUGACAACCCCACAACCAACAAGGGAAGAUACUGCUCACCCUGGAGAGAUGGUGAUGUAGUUUGUGUGAUGGAAAGCCCAACCGACCAUGCUGAAGGGCAAUGAAAAUGUGUGCAAGGUUCUGUAUGGGGAGCAGUGGAGAUGGUGUGCUUCAGAAGUCCUGAGCUGGCCAGGGUACUGACCCAAACUGUCCUACACUUGCUGAGAUCAACACCUUUCCUGUGGAUUUGCCCCAAGGGAGGAGCCACGUCACUCAAGGUACCAAAGUGUGACAGGCUCACCCAUGCCAUGAUGGAGGGCUC
This 1022-nucleotide long non-coding RNA is filed under the name Anas platyrhynchos platyrhynchos (common mallard). Its description in RNAcentral is "lncRNA (ENSAPLG00000023873.1)". The record is from RNAcentral. Lineage: Eukaryota; Metazoa; Chordata; Aves; Anseriformes; Anatidae.